Long non-coding RNA from Oncorhynchus kisutch (coho salmon), 5883 nucleotides. RefSeq lists it as uncharacterized. The record is from RefSeq and is a predicted model, not a curated record. NCBI's taxonomy places the organism in Eukaryota, Metazoa, Chordata, Actinopteri, Salmoniformes, Salmonidae. The transcript has 7 exons.
CAGUGACCUUGCUCUGCCAGACAACAUACGCUGUCCAUAGAGGCCCGAGAAGCACGUUGCUCGAAGGAGCAAAAGAAGAAACAACUGCGGAGCGCAAGCUUCCUAUACUGUGAAGUUUUUCGAUGGAGCAGUCAAGACCAUUAAGCCAACCAAAGUAAAGCCAUAUAAGCUAGAGAAUGUGAAGGCCCAGGAGAGAGACAUAACUCAAGGUGAGCAGAGCAAUGGGAAAGGUGAAGCCAAGGUGAGCAGAGCAUUGGGAAAGGUGAAGCCAUGGUGAGCAGAGCAUUGGGAAAGGUGAAGCCAAGGUGAGCAGAGCAUUGGGAAAGGUGAAGCCAAGGUGAGCAGAGCAUUGGGAAAGGUGAAGCCAAGGUGAGCAGAGCAUUGGGAAAGGUGAAGCCAAGGUGAGCAGAGCAAUGGGAAAGGUGAAGCCAAGGUGAGCAGAGCAUUGGGAAAGGUGAAGCCAAGGUGAGCAGAGCAUUGGGAAAGGUGAAGCCAAGGUGAGCAGAGCAUUGGGAAAGGUGAAGCCAAGGUGAGCAGAGCAAUGAGAAAGGUGAAGCCAAGGUGAACGGGAAAGCAGAGAGUUACAAAUCCAAAAAAGGAUCUUCAGACCUGGAGGAAGAAGAGAGUAGGAUUGAUGAAGAGGAGAAAACGCGGAAUGGCAACAUUGAGAACAGUGGACAGAAUGGGAACCUGAACGGCGAAGAGGGGGAGACGGGAGCAGGAGAACUAGGCCAGGAAGGUGUUGGGGAACAGACUGAAGAGCCACAAGCCAAGAAAGAUGGGCUGGCUGUCCAAGCUGAAAGGAAAGAUGGGAAGGUUGUCCAAGCUGAAAGGAAAGAUGGGAAGGUUGUCCAAGCUGAAAGGAAAGAUGGGAAGGUUGUCCAAGCUGAAAGGAAAGAUGGGAAGGUUGUCCAAGCUGAAAGGAAAGAUGGGAAGGUUGUCCAAGCUGAAAGGAAAGAUGGGCUGGCUGUCCAAACUGAAAGGGAAGAUGGAAAGGUUGUCCAAACUGAAAGGGAAGAUGGGAAGGUUGUCCAAACUGAAAGGGAAGAUGGGAAGGUUGUCCAAACUGAAAGGGAAGAUGGAAAGGUUGUCCAAACUGAAAGGGAAGAUGUGAAUGUAGGUGGGGAGUGUGUGAUGAGCAGUAACCAAAGGCAGGAGGAGAAAGAGAGGGAUGUUUCUGGACAGAGUUCCCCGCUGAACUGGUACCGACCUUCUGAAGGUAUGUAGGUUAGUGUAAGGCCUCGAUCACACAAACGGCGUCAUUGCAUUUUGGUACACCAGAAGUACAUUAAUUUCCAAUGAAACGCUACGUUUGCCUUGCAGCAUUGCGUUGCAGAGGCAGUUGCAAUGCGUUCGGUGUGGUGCAUACGUUGGAUUUAUCGCAUAUAUGCAUCAAACUGUAUGCCUAGACAGCUUGACAGAAAUGGUAGCAGAAGGUAAACUUUUGUUGCACACAGGUGCUGUGUACCGUUUUGCACAAUGACGCUAUCGGUGUGAUCAAGGCGUAAGGCUUUGACAGUGGAACAAUGAAAAACCGCUGUAGAAUCAUCAGGUUGAAAUAGAACAUUUCCCAUGGUUGUGCUCGUGUCCGAACUGGAGAAGAAAGAUGGAAGCUUGGCUUAUAGCUUUGCUUGGUAAAUUGAAUUGUGGCUUAAUAAAGCAUGUUAGGACAGAUUCUGUAGCUUGAUAGAUAAGUGGAAGAAGUCAAGGGGAGAAUGUCUGCUGAGUCACACUGAACUUUCACUUUUUAUCGUUUACAGAAAGUUAACACGAACUGAGGAAGAGGAUGGUGUGUCUCUUGGACAGAGGCCACCGCCAAAGAGGGAUAGGUCAGACACAAGCAAAGACAGAAGCAACUCAUCCCAGUCUCAGAAGCAAGUUAGAUCAGAUUCCGUCCCAAGCGUUAACCCCAGACCAGACAAACACCCAGGCAUCCACAGAGGCCAGCAUCGAAGCCCAAUCAGAGAUAGUGUAUAGAGUCAUCAAAAAACCAGCCACUUCCAAUCCUCUCCAUUGAACUGGACCACAUCCCCUUCAAGUGCAAGGCUCCUGGCUGCCUGAAGUCCUUCCGGAAGACCUCUCUCCAGCACUACCCCACGCCUCCGAACACGCCUCUGAGUGCAGCGUGCAGACCCGGGCAUCAGAGAAGCAGGUUGGCUUUCAGGAUACGCCUAGGAGGAGAAGCACCAUGUCAGGCUCUAUACACUCACCCCUGGGUGACAGACAGGCUGCCAUCUGAGUUAACCGUCAUCGUCGGAGAUCACUGAGUGAGAGAAGGAAGUAGAACCAGCAAACCAACAGCGGACCCCAAUGAUGAAAGAGUCAGUGAAACAGUGUUGGAGAGUAGGCUGGACUACACAGGGGAACUGGAUCCUCCUGACCCGUUGACCCGAUUGCCUCAGCUCAAACAUCUCAUCAGACAGAUGGUCAGAGACCUGGGCACCGUGCAUCAGAUGUCCCUCUGCUCCUCCAACACAUGAGUGCCCCACUGAGUUCAUCACUUCACCACAGAGACCUGGCUGGAGCAGGGCGUAGCAAGCAAGACUACAGUACAAAUGAUGGGUAGGGGAGUUACACAAACUGUCAUUAAUCAGUUAUUAUACCAGCAAAACUAUUGUAAUCAGAUUAUAGAUCCUUUUGAAAAACUACAUUACUUCUUGGAUUACUUUUCAUAUCAGAAACAAAAAACAUUAUGACACCUUUUCAGUUUUCUUAAUGACAGUCAAUUCAGCAUUUUUUUUUAAAGGCGCAAGUUUAAGUUUGUUCCAACUGAGCAAGUCUGACUGGAUGUUAGAGACCACUUUGAUGACACACCAAAUGAUGGCCACCAAUCAAAGACCACUAUGAUGACACACCAAAUGAUGACCACCAAUCAGAGACCACUAUGAUGACACACCAAAUGCAUUUGAGGGAUCUUGUUCUGUCUUCUGUCCAAAAGUAACUGAAAGUAAUCAGAUUGAUAAUGAGUUUGGAUAAUCCAAAAGUUACGUAACUGAUUACAAUUGUGGACAGGUAACUGUAACGGAUUACAUUGUUGAAGGUAACAUAUAGUCCACAACCCUGUGUGUGGGUGACAGGGACAGAGACGUUAACAGGGGAUUCCUGAGAUACUGUACCUGCUACUACUGACAAUUCAGGAAUCAACAAUAUGAAAUGUCUGGCAACCUGCAUUCCUGCCAUGGUGAUGAAGGAUGGAUAGGACAGGCUACUUUUCUGAAAUGCAAGAAAAAAUAAGAACAGAACAUAACCAUGUUUAACACGUUUUUAGUUUAGUUUUUAUUAAUUUGACCAUUUAAAAAACAAAAAAACAAGCACACAUAAAACUUAAAAGCCAUACAUGAAACUUGGGUUUUCGAUUGUAAGUCAACCCCUCCUAAUAAUAUAGUUCUUGCAAUUCAAUGUAAAACUUGGUGAAUACUUUGUUUUUGCUAACAUAAAUCAUCUAUAUCCAACAGGGCUUUAUGAUUGGAUGGUUUUGCUGAAAGGUUCAAAUAAGGUUCAAAUGUAGACCACUGUAGGCUUUUUCUUCUACAGUUCUAUUAAAUGUUUAUAUAACAUUACACAUGUUUGUUCAAUGUAAGCACAUAUGUAUCUAAUCCUAUGUUUCAAAUGCAUAUUUUUGAUUAGUGUUUCAAUGAAAUGUAUUUGGAUGAUGUUUUAAGAUCACAAAAAAUAAGGGUCACACUUUAUUUGGAUAGUCCGGAUAUUCCAUCUGUAGAUGCUUUACAGAUAGUUUGGCCAUCUGUUGAUAAGCAACUGCUUGCUAAGGUUAGGUUUAGAAUAAGGUUAGGGUUGGAGCUAGGGGGUAGCAUUAGUAGAUGGUUAGUUGAAAUGUUACUGAUAGUCUGUAGAGUGUCUACAGAUGGACAAUACAAAAAGUUAUACAAAAAAAACAGAAGUCCAUUUUUAAAAGGAGGGGAAAUAUUUUCAUAUUUGCAAAUAUUGUCCUGUCUUUUGAAUGUCCAGAAUGUUCUUGAGAAUAGAUGGUAUCUUUCUAUUGUCCUUUUUAAUAACAAAUGUUUCUUUCCUCAUAGAUAUUGACGUAGUAUAGUAUACAAAGUUAUUUAGAGGACAUUGCCAAUAUUAACACUUUUACAAACGAACUGUAUAUUUUGUAAAUUGUAAUACUCUGUUAAGAUAUUUCUCUUUGAUUUAAAUAUUUAGUUGUGAUGUUCGUUUGUUGUUCUUAUUUCAUGUUUUUCCAUGCGGGCACUGUGCUCUUAUCCUUUUAUAUAUUGUGAUUCAGAAUUUAAUUUAUAAUGUUUUUGAUUGCAUCUUUGUAAUCAGUAAGUAAUUAUAUGUAUAGCACGUAUAGCACGUAGUCCAUAGAGUAUAGGACUGUGUCACAGUAUAUUUAGUACUGAUAUACUCAGUACAUUGCCUGUGUAUCCUUCCCUGGUGGGUAGAACUAGAGGAUGUGUGUGUGUGUGUGUGUGUGUGUGUGUGUGUGUGUGUGUGUGUGUGUGUGUGUGUGUAUGUUUUGGCUGGAGAGCAGUGGGGGGAAAGCAGAUGGAGCCAGCCCAGCAUAUGGCCCCACAGUGUGUAGUCAGAAGGCUCUGGAGUCCCUUAUGGCAGUGCCACCUCUGCGUUUCCUUGUACCAUAUCAGGAAUAUUACUUUGGUUUCUUUCUAUUGUGCAUUUUCUUAAUCUUUGCAUGUGAAAUGGGUAUUUUUAUUUAUCCUUUAUUUAACAAGGCAAGUCAGUUAAGAACAAAUUCUUAUUUACAAUGACGGCCUACCCCGGCCAAACCCUGACGCUGGGCCAAUUGUGCGCCGCCCUAUGGGACUCCCAAUCACAGCUGGUUGUGAUACAGCCUGGAAUCAAACCAGGGUCUGUAGGGACGCCUCUGCACGGAGAUGCAGUGCCUUAGAUCACUGCGCCACUCUGGAGCCCCAAAUUGACAUGCGACUUUGACCUGACCCAUUUGAGAAUUAUUUGUUUUUUUCUUACUGUUUGUUUCAAUGGUUAAUCAUACUUUAUACGUCAGCUGCUUGCUAAGGUUAGGUUUAGAAUAAGGUUAGGGUUGGAGCUAGGGGGGAGGGUUAGUAGAUGGUGUCACUCCCCGCACCAGAACACCAAUGUAGGUGCAUUUAAUUAUUAUUCCCCAAAUUGCAAGCAACAUUAGCUUGCUUCUGAUGGUAUUAGCUAUGCAGAUACUAAGCAUAACUGACAGGGAUUCAUUAAUUUGAAGUACCAGAGAUCUAUUAAAUCUUGCUAGCUACCGAGCGCACUCCCAGUAAGUUAUAAUCGCAACGAGGUUCACACUGUCUGUUGGUUUCACUGCUUUGCGCAUCCUGUCGUCUCUGCCCACCUCGCUGUUUUAGUAAACGCAUCAACUCCUCUCAUUAAGCUAACUUCCCACAUUUUAAUUAACAGCCAUUUAACCAGAAAUGUCAAAUUAUUGCACAUUCUAAAAUGUAUUUAACUUGAAAAGUCAGUUAAGAACCAUUUACAAUGACGGCCUACCCUGGCCAAACCCUGACGCUGGGCAAAUUGUGUGCCGCCCUAUGGGACUCCCAAUCAUGGCUUGUUGUGAUACAGCCUGGAAUCAAACCAGGGUCUGUAGUGACCCCUCUAGCACUGAGAUGCAGUGCCUUAGACCACUGCGCCACUGGAGCCGCAAAUUGAUGUUUAAUGUGACCCAUUUCAGAAUGAUUUGUUUUCCCUUCCUGUUUGUUUCAAUGGUUAAUAAUAUUUUAUAUUUCAACUGAAUGUUGGCAGCGUCAGAUUUAUCAAUGUAUGUUUUUUUAAUGUAAUAGAUUUUGUCAUGAGAGGACUGAGAUUUAGCUUUACCCAGGACCCAACACUGGAAUUGUGCUAUUUUUGUUUAAUAAAUAAUUAUUUAAGAUUUCCAUGCAAGAAAAUAAACCUUUUUAUUUAUCU